RNAcentral lists this non-coding RNA (98 nucleotides) under uncultured eukaryote. The record is from RNAcentral.
UGCACAAGAUAAACUAACAAGCAACUCAAUAACCCAGAUGAGAAAUGCGUGGUUUUAAUUUCUCUCAUAUUUAAUUUUAUUUUUCUUCUUUUUUGGUU